This 350-nucleotide ribosomal RNA is filed under the name uncultured bacterium. RNAcentral describes it as "bacterial SSU rRNA". It matches the Rfam family "Bacterial small subunit ribosomal RNA", at positions 8 to 350 of the family's 1533-position model. The record is from RNAcentral.
AGAGUUUGAUCAUGGCUCAGGAUGAACGCUAGCUACAGGCUUAACACAUGCAAGUCGAGGGGCAGCAUGUUGGUUGCUUGCAACCAACGAUGGCGACCGGCGCACGGGUGAGUAACGCGUAUCCAACCUACCCUUGUCCAUCGGAUAACCCGUCGAAAGGCGGCCUAACACGAUAUGCGGUUCACGGCAGGCAUCUAAGGUGAACGAAAUGUGAAGGAGAAGGAUGGGGAUGCGUCUGAUUAGCUUGUUGGCGGGGUAGCGGCCACAAGGCUACGAUCAGUAGGGGUUCUGAGAGGAACGGUCCCCCACUAUUGGAACUGAGACACGGUCCAAACUCCGUACGGGAGGCA